CCCUUCGGGGCGUUUGAAAUAAAAUAAUGGAGAGUUUGAUCCUGGCUCAGAACGAACGCUGGCGGCGCGUCUUAAGCAUGCAAGUCGAACGGCAAGAGAGAAGCUUGCUUCUCUCCUAGAGUGGCGGACUGGUGAGGAACACGUGGGUAAUCUACCCUUAAGAUGGGGAUAGCUGCUAGAAAUAGCAGGUAAUACCGAAUAGUCUCAAUGGUUCAUAAGAAGUAUUGAGGAAAGGAAGCUACGGCUUCGCUUGAGGAUGAGCUUGCGUCCCAUUAGCUAGUUGGUGAGGUAAAGGCCCACCAAGGCGACGAUGGGUAUCCGGCCUGAGAGGGUGAUCGGACACAUUGGGACUGAGAUACGGCCCAAACUCCUACGGGAGGCAGCAGCUAAGAAUAUUCCGCAAUGGACGGAAGUCUGACGGAGCGACGCCGCGUGGAUGAAGAAGGCUGAAAAGUUGUAAAAUCCUUUUGUUGAUGAAGAAUAAGGGUGAGAGGGAAUGCUCAUCUGAUGACGGUAAUCGACGAAUAAGCCCCGGCUAAUUACGUGCCAGCAGCCGCGGUAACACGUAAGGGGCGAGCGUUGUUCGGAAUUAUUGGGCGUAAAGGGCAUGUAGGCGGUUAUGUAAGCCUGGUGUGAAAUCCUGGGGCUUAACCCUAGAAUAGCAUUGGGUACUGUAUAACUUGAAUUACGGAAGGGAAACUGGAAUUCCAAGUGUAGGGGUGGAAUCUGUAGAUAUUUGGAAGAACACCGGUGGCGAAGGCGGGUUUCUGGCCGAUAAUUGACGCUGAGAUGCGAAAGUGUGGGGAUCGAACAGGAUUAGAUACCCUGGUAGUCCACACUGUAAACGAUGUACACUAGGUGUUGGGGCAAGAGCUUCAGUGCCAAAGCAAACGCGAUAAGUGUACCGCCUGGGGAGUAUGCCCGCAAGGGUGAAACUCAAAGGAAUUGACGGGGGCCCGCACAAGCGGUGGAGCAUGUGGUUUAAUUCGAUGGUACGCGAGGAACCUUACCUGGGUUUGACAUCUAGUAGACAGUCUUAGAGAUAAGGCUUGGUAGCAAUACCCUGCUAGACAGGUGCUGCAUGGCUGUCGUCAGCUCGUGCCGUGAGGUGUUGGGUUAAGUCCCGCAACGAGCGCAACCCCUACUGCCAGUUACUAACAGGUAAAGCUUGAGGACUCUGGCGGAACUGCCGAUGACAAAUCGGAGGAAGGUGGGGAUGACGUCAAGUCAUCAUGGCCCUUAUGUCCAGGGCUACACACGUGCUACAAUGGUUGCUACAAAGCGAAGCGAGACCGUAAGGUGGAGCAAACCGCAAAAAAGCAAUCGUAGUUCGGAUUGAAGUCUGAAACUCGACUUCAUGAAGUUGGAAUCGCUAGUAAUCGCGCAUCAGCACGGCGCGGUGAAUACGUUCCCGGGCCUUGUACACACCGCCCGUCACACCAUCCGAGUUGGGGGUACCCGAAGUCGCUUGUCUAACCUGCAAAGGAGGACGGUGCCGAAGGUACGCUUGGUGAGGAGGGUGAAGUCGUAACAAGGUAGCCGUACCGGAAGGUGCGGCUGGAUCACCUCCUUUCUUAG
This 1578-nucleotide ribosomal RNA is filed under the name Treponema vincentii. RNAcentral's name for it is "bacterial SSU rRNA". It matches the Rfam family "Bacterial small subunit ribosomal RNA". Lineage: Bacteria; Pseudomonadati; Spirochaetota; Spirochaetia; Treponematales; Treponemataceae. The record is from RNAcentral.